AGGAUAAGAGAGGUCUGGGGGACCAGGCGCAGGGUUGGGGGCUCAGAAGGCAGCGCUCUGGGGCAUCUCCACCAUGGCCUGGGCUCUGCUCCUUGUCACCCUCCUCACUCAGGGCACAGGGUCCUGGGCACAGUCUGCCCUGACUCAGCCUCCAUCGGUGUCUGGGACUCUGGGAAAGACAGUCACCAUCUCCUGUGCAGGAACCAGCAGUGAUGUUGGGUCUGGAAACUAUGUCUCCUGGUACCAGCAGCUCCCAGGAACAGCCCCCAAAUGCCUGAUUUAUCAGGUCAAUAAACGAGCCUCAGGGAUCCCUGAUCGCGUCUCUGGCUCCAAGUCUGGCAACACGGCCUCCAUGACCAUCUCUGGGCUCCAGUCUGUGGACGAGGCUGAUUAUUACUGUGCCUCAUAUAGAAGUGGUGGCACUCCACACACUGUGUCCGGAGGAGGGACCCUGCCCAGCCCCCAAGGUGUGAGGAGCCCAGGCCUGAGGCUGGAGUGGGCCAAGCACUACAGUGGGGAGACAGUGGACUGGGUCAGGGGCUCCCCUGUACCCUACAUGAUGGCUGCUACAUCGCCCACACCACAUUACCAUUCAGCACCCAGCCCAUCUCCAAGGCCAAGGAUCUGCCUUUGUUGUGAAGUCCGGGCCGCAGCUCGGGGCCUGGCAGCCUGGGGUUCUUCCAAAGCUGCUCCAUGAGUUUGGUCAGACCACGAUAUCACCACCAUCGAUUUCAGGUCUCCCUCCCGCUCACUACCAUCAGUGUCCAGAGCUGGGGACGGUCUGGGAUUUCAUCCUCCCUGCAGGAUACCGGCCGGUGUGUUUCUCUCCAGAGGGAGACACUGCCUCUACUUUCCAGUUUCAUUCAUUAACGCAGACAUCAUUGAAAAGAUGGUCCAAACAAGAGGGGACCUGUGCCUUUGCUUGUGAGACCCGAGGACAGCGGUCCUCAUCCCCGUGGGAGAACUGAAGUCCUGGCUGUUGGCCUGUGACCGUGUCUCAAAAGGGGCUGGACCAGUUGUAGCAGGAGAGUCACAACACGGGCCAGACAACUCUUAAGGAACCACCCAGGAAAGUGACUUUGGGAGGCCUGGGGUAGGGGGGCCUCUUUCAGAGUUGCUGGAACGGAAAACCAGGAGGGCCGCACAGCUGGGCUCGAGUGGACGUAUUAGAGCUCCUGGGGAUGAAAAGCAACUGGAAAGCGAGAGGCCGUGACAAGCAGGAACAUGCAGCCUGCAGCCCUGAGUCCCUCCUACCCGAGCAGGGUGACAGCACCGGCACCCAGACAGAGGCCACAAGCUCAAAGCACACCCUGGAGCCUGGCAAGGGCCCAGCCUCUUGACGGUGUGGCAUCAAGAAUGUUCAGAGUCUGCUUGAACAUCAGUGUCCUCAUCUGCCAACAGAAGAGAAAAAUCAGCUCAGCGGGCGGUCGGCUCCACUGUCAGCGCUGGAUAACAGCACCCUCUCAUCACUGCAUCAGUGUGUCCCGUAUUGCAUUCCUGGGCUUCAAAACAGACCCCAACUGAGCAGACAUGUGAUCUCCUUAUUCCUCAUGGCCUCCCUGCAGCAAAGGAACUGCCCCCAUUUUACAGAUAAGGAAACUGAGGCCCGGAGGUGACCUAGGUCUGGCUGCUUUCAACAUCACUCCUUGAAUAAGCGGUAGAGGACCCCUCCCCACAGAACCCCUGACUGGCUGAGGACCAGGGGCUGCUGGCCAGGCUUGG
This is a non-coding RNA of Vicugna pacos (alpaca), 1722 nucleotides long. NCBI's taxonomy places the organism in Eukaryota, Metazoa, Chordata, Mammalia, Artiodactyla, Camelidae. The record is from the annotation of a RefSeq genome assembly.